RNAcentral lists this ribosomal RNA (354 nucleotides) under uncultured bacterium. RNAcentral describes it as "partial 16S ribosomal RNA". It matches the Rfam family "Bacterial small subunit ribosomal RNA", at positions 338 to 690 of the family's 1533-position model. The record is from RNAcentral.
CCUACGGGAGGCAGCAGUGAGGAAUAUUGGUCAAUGGCCGGAAGGCUGAACCAGCCAAGCCGCGUGAAGGACGAAGGUGCCAAGCAUUGUAAACUUCUUUUGUCAAGGGACAAAAUCAGGCUCGAGAGCCUGACCGAGGGUACUUGAAGAAAAAGCAUCGGCUAACUCCGUGCCAGCAGCCGCGGUAAUACGGAGGAUGCGAGCUUUAUCCGGAUUUAUUGGGUUAAGGGGGUGCGGAGGCGGACUGUUAAGUCAGCGGUAAAAGCCCGGGGCUCAACCCCGGCGAGCCGUUGAAACUGGCUGUCUUGAGAUGUCGAGGGGUAUGCGGAAUGCGCAGGGUAGCGGUGAAAUGCU